UGCAGAAUCCCGUGAACCAUCGAGUCUUUGAACGCAAGAUGCGCCCGAAGCCGCUAGGCCGAGGGCACGCCUGCCUGGGCGUCA
RNAcentral lists this ribosomal RNA (84 nucleotides) under Crataegus x cogswellii. RNAcentral describes it as "partial 5.8S ribosomal RNA". It matches the Rfam family "5.8S ribosomal RNA", at positions 73 to 154 of the family's 154-position model. Rfam says of the family: 5.8S ribosomal RNA (5.8S rRNA) is a component of the large subunit of the eukaryotic ribosome. It is transcribed by RNA polymerase I as part of the 45S precursor that also contains 18S and 28S rRNA. Lineage: Eukaryota; Viridiplantae; Streptophyta; Magnoliopsida; Rosales; Rosaceae. The record is from RNAcentral.